This 82-nucleotide transfer RNA is filed under the name Verrucomicrobia bacterium GWC2_42_7. RNAcentral describes it as "tRNA-Leu". It matches the Rfam family "tRNA". From Rfam's summary of the family: Transfer RNA (tRNA) molecules are approximately 80 nucleotides in length. Their secondary structure includes four short double-helical elements and three loops (D, anti-codon, and T loops). Lineage: Bacteria; Pseudomonadati; Verrucomicrobiota. The record is from RNAcentral.
GCCCAGGUGGUGAAAUUGGCAGACACGCCAGACUUAGGAUCUGGUGCCGUAAGGCAUAAGGGUUCGACUCCCUUCUUGGGCA